CCUACGAUGUGCAGCAGUGGGGACUAUUGCGCAAUGGGCGAAAGCCUGCCGCAGCGACGCCGCGUGAGGGAUGAAGGUCUUCGUAUCGUAAACCUCUGUCAGCAGGGAAGAACGGUCACUGUGCUAAUCAGCAGUGAAUUGACGGUACCUGCAAAGGAAGCACCGGCUAACUCCGUGCCAGCAGCCGCGGUAAUACGGAGGGUGCGAGCGUUAAUCGGAAUUACUGGGCGUAAGGCGCUCGUAGGCGGUAUGUCAAGUCAAGGGUGAAAUCCCCGCGCUCAACGUGGGAACUGCCUUUGAAACUGGCAAACUGGAGUGUGUGAGAGGAUAGUGGAAUUCCAGGUGUAGGAGUGAAAUCCGUAGAUAUCUGGAGGAACAUCAGUGGCGAAGGCGACUAUCUGGCACAUAACUGACGCUGAGGAGCGAAAGCGUGGGUAGCAAACAGGAUUAGAUACCCUUGUAGUC
RNAcentral lists this ribosomal RNA (465 nucleotides) under uncultured bacterium. RNAcentral describes it as "partial 16S ribosomal RNA". It matches the Rfam family "Bacterial small subunit ribosomal RNA", at positions 338 to 795 of the family's 1533-position model. The record is from RNAcentral.